Lagenorhynchus albirostris (white-beaked dolphin) is the source of this 436-nucleotide long non-coding RNA. RefSeq lists it as uncharacterized. The transcript has 3 exons. Lineage: Eukaryota; Metazoa; Chordata; Mammalia; Artiodactyla; Delphinidae. The record is from RefSeq and is a predicted model, not a curated record.
CUCCGGGUCCGCCCGCGCCCUGAAGCCGGCGGCCAGGGGACCCGCUGCCAAGGAGGGGGCGGCGGCGGGGCCGGGAACGCGCGGCCCGGCCUGGCUGAGGAACCAGCAGGCCCCCACAGGCCCUCGUACAGUGCCUCCAGGGACUUAAACCUGCCGCAGCCAUGUGGUUACCCUGAUCUAUCUGCUGGGAGAGGAGCAAAGCUCGGAGAGGGACCAGAUCUCAGCAGAGACGAAACCAGCAGCAGUUCCUGAACACCCACCCUGCCGUGGUUCCAGAAGUGCAACAUGGACCAACCUGUGAGCAUUUGCUCUUCCUCAGGGGCACUUUCCCUUUUCAAAGAAGAGUUCAGCAGUUCUUCCACCCAGAAGACUAACUUCUGAGAAAUAAAACAGCUGGGAGACAGAAGGAAGUAGCUGUAAGGAGACUAAAUACGGA